CCUACGGGUGGCAGCAGUGGGGAAUAUUGGACAAUGGGCGAAAGCCUGAUCCAGCCAUGCCGCGUGUGUGAAGAAGGCCUUCGGGUUGUAAAGCACUUUCAGUGGGGAAGAAAGCCUUGGGGCUAAUACCCUCGAGGAAGGACAUCACCCACAGAAGAAGCACCGGCUAACUCCGUGCCAGCAGCCGCGGUAAUACGGAGGGUGCGAGCGUUAAUCGGAAUUACUGGGCGUAAAGCGCGCGUAGGCGGUCUGAUAAGCCGGUUGUGAAAGCCCCGGGCUCAACCUGGGAACGGCAUCCGGAACUGUCAGGCUAGAGUGCAGGAGAGGAAGGUAGAAUUCCCGGUGUAGCGGUGAAAUGCGUAGAGAUCGGGAGGAAUACCAGUGGCGAGGCGGCCUUCUGGACUGACACUGACGCUGAGGUGCGAAAGCGUGUGUAGCAAACAGGAUUAGAUACCCCAGUAGUC
This 464-nucleotide ribosomal RNA is filed under the name Vreelandella stevensii. RNAcentral describes it as "partial 16S ribosomal RNA". It matches the Rfam family "Bacterial small subunit ribosomal RNA", at positions 338 to 795 of the family's 1533-position model. Lineage: Bacteria; Pseudomonadati; Pseudomonadota; Gammaproteobacteria; Oceanospirillales; Halomonadaceae. The record is from RNAcentral.